Molecule: long non-coding RNA, 3948 nt
Filed under: Callithrix jacchus (white-tufted-ear marmoset)
Lineage: Eukaryota; Metazoa; Chordata; Mammalia; Primates; Cebidae
Description: lncRNA (ENSCJAG00000086127.1)
Source: RNAcentral
CAUUAGUGAUGCAGAGAAAAUCCCCGCAGGCAUCUCCUUGAGCCACACUGUGUUCGUAGCCUGUGAACCCCAUCAACUUGAUCAUCCCUGAGGCAAGAGGCUUUGGUUAAGGACAUCGGAUGGUCUCUUGGGCCUUAAACUCCCAGCUGCUGUGUUUAACUAUUCUUUUCAUCCUUCAGCCCCUAAGGAGGUUAUGGGCAAAGUAUGCACUUUGCAAAUGUUGCCGGCAAUGAAGUAAAUAUUAAUGUUAGCACUGUCUCCAUUUGAUAAGGAAACAGCAGGUUAAGGAACCAGGUUGGGGGUGAAUCAGAACGGCAGGCCUUUGGGAAUGCAGUGGGUUUAGGGACGGUAUAUGGGUAUACCCUGAAAUUUCUGGGCACAAAGUGGCUCUGAGUCCCACCUAUGGUUUCUACAUCCUGCCCUCGAUCCCAUCACACAGUCAUCCGCCAACACACACCGAGAUGCUGUUUUGUACCUAACUCUAAGUUACCUGCUGUUUGUGGGGGGGGGGGGGCAGGUAUAGCUAGCAGAGAUGAUCAAGAGUCAAAGAAAAAUAAAAAAUAAAAACACAUUCCUUCUCCCCAGGAACUUAAAACUAAAUAUAGAGACUAAUUAUAGUCCGAAUAAAAACUGCAGUAAAAGAAGCCAAAUGUCAAGCAAGAUUUUCCGUUUGUUGAGUGCUAAGAAGUUCCACAAGGUAAAGUCCCCUGGCUCAGACGUCCACAGGCGUUUCUGACGUAGUUGCAAGAGGGCAAAGAAGGAAAAUAGGAAUCGUGGCAGCUGUGGCAGCUGCAAUUUGUUGAAGCCUCCCCUGCCCGGCGAAUGGGGGCCACACCCGAGGAGGCCCCAGGAGGAGUUGGGCGGUGCUGCCCCCUAGAGGUCAGCUGAGAAUGUCGCUGAAUAUUGGAGGCUUAAAUCCCAGGCAAUGCCGAUCGCGAUGUGCUCAGACUGCGCAUGCUCUGUGGAAAAAGACAUGAGCCUGUCUCGCCUUGCGGUGAGAUGUUGGGGUUCAGACCUGUUCAGACCUUCUGCUGGGUUCGGAGGAAAGGACUCGGCCACGAGGGACGUGUGCGCGCAGGCGCGCGCGCGCGCACACACGCUACUGCUGGGAGCUCCCGGUUGGAGACUUUUGGGGAGACAAAGGUCAGCCAAGUACGGAAAACCUCCCAGCAAUUGUUAGAAGCAAGGCACAGGCCCACGAGCCUUUCAUCAAAACGCUCAGGCCAGAUGAGUUUGGGAAUUUUGAAUUUGUCGGAUUUUAGGAGAUAUCUAGCAUGUCGCCCGUAAUCGAUCACAUCAAUAUUUCUGCAGCAAAAUGUACCAGCAGCAAAGUGAAAUAAAGACAGGCAACAGCCUUGUGCCAGCUCAGGCAGAAUUUGCCACCAAAUGUGUUUUAGCACCAAAAAGAAAAAGCUUUCAGUUUUCACAACGUUUUGGAGUUCAGAAUUACAGAUAAGCGUGUGUCGACCUGUGUAGACAAUGCAGAGAAGGAACCUGUCAGUUGUCCCAAAGACCUCAGGAGGCUUCAGAGAGGAGGUUGUGCUUGAGCUGAGAGCUGACAGUGAGAGCUGGUGGAGAGACCGACCACAGGAGAGAACCAGCAGAGAACCAGCGGAGUACACAGGUGAGGGCAGCCUCCCCUCAUUCAGCAUGCCUGGAAAUAUUAAGCCAGAACCUGCACUCUUAUUAACAUUCCCAAGUUGGCCUGAAAACCACCCUGUUGCAAGAAGCCUUCUCUGACUACCUACCCUCUCCUAUAUGUAUUGCAUUGACAUUCCAAAAAAGACCUGUGAGUUUUUCUUCAGACCACUGCAGAUCUAAAAUUCCUCCAGUGCAGGCACAAAAACAGACACACAGACCAGUGGAACAGAAUAGAGAACCAGGAAAUAAAACUGCACACCUACAACUGUCUGAUAUUCAACAAACCUGACAAAAACAAGCAGUAGGGAAAGGAUUCCCUGUUCAAUAAAUGGUGCUGGGAGAACUGGCUAGCUAUAUGCAGAGGACUAAAACUGGACCCCUUCCUUACACCAUACACAAAGAUUAACUCAAGAUGGAUUAAAGACUUAAAGGUAAAACCCAAAACUAUGAAAGUCCUGUAAUACAACCUAGGCAAUACCGUUGAGGUUACAGGCACUGUCAAAGAUUUCAUGACAAGGACACCAAAAGCAAUGACAACAAAUGCAAACAUUGACAGAAGGGAUCAAAUUAAACUAAAGAACUUUGGGAGGCCAAGGUGGCCGGAUCACUUCAGGUCAGGAGUUCGAGACCAGCCUGGUCAACAUGGUGAAACCCUGUCUCUACGGAAAUACAAAAAUUAGCUGGGUGUGGUGGUGUGCGCCUGCUAUCCCAGCCACUCAGGAGGCUGAGACAGGAGAAUCGAUUGAACCCAGGAGGCAGAGGUUGCAGUGAGCAUGCCACUGCACUCCAGCCUGGGUAACAGAAUGAGACUCCAUCUCCAAAAAAAAUAAAAUAAAGAGCUUCCACACAGCAAAAGAAACCAUCAACAGAGUAAACAGACAACCUACAGAAUGGGAGAAAAAUUUUGCAAACUAUGCAUCAGACCAAGAUCUGAUAUCCAGCAUCUAUAAGGAAUUUAAAUGCAUAAGAAAGAAUAAACCUAUAAAAAAGUAGGCAAAGGACAUAAGUAGACACUUUUCACAAGAAGACAUACAUGUGGCCAAUAAUCAUACAUAUAAAAAAAAAGCCCAACAUCACUGAUCAUUAAAGAAAUGCAAAUCGGGCCGGGUGUGGUGGCUCACACCUGUAAUCUCCCACUUUGGAAGGCUGAGGCAGGCGGAUCACAAGGUCAGGAGUUUGAGACUAGCCCGGCCAACACAGUGAAACCCCAUCUCUACUAAAAAUACAAAAAAUUAGCCGGUCAUGGUGGCAGGCACCUGUAAUCCCAGCUACUCUGGAGCCUGAAGCCGGAGAAUCACUUGAACACAGGAGGCAGAAGUUGUGGUGAGAGGAGAUCACGCCAUUGCACUCCAGCCUGGGUGACAGAGUAAGACUCCAUCUCAAAAAAAAAAAAAAAAAAAAAAAAAGCAAAGUAAAACAAUAAUGAGAUGCCAUCUCAUACCAGUCAGAAUGGCUAUUAGUAAAAAGUCAAAAAAUAACAGGUGCUGGCAAGGUUGUGGAGAAAAAGGAAUGCUUCUGCAUUGUUGGUGAGAGUGUAAAUUUGUUCAACCAUUGUGGAAGACAGUGAGACAAUUCCUCAAAGACCUAAAGGCUGAAAUACCACUGGAACCAGCAAUCCCAUUACUGGGUAUAUAUCCAAAGGAAUAGAAAUCAUUCUAUUAUAAAGAUAAGUAAAAUGUGGUAUAUAUACACCAUGGAAUACAACACAGCCAUAAAAAAGAACAAGAUCAACUGGGCGCAGUGGCUCAUGCCUGUAAUCCCAACACUUUGGGAGGCCGACGCAGCAGAUCAACUGAGGCUGGGAGUUUGGGACCAGCCUGACCAACGUGGAGAAACCCCAUCUCUAUGAAAAAUACAAAAUUAGCAGGUCGUGAUGGUGCAUGCCUGUAAUCCCAGCUACUCAGGAGGCUGAGGCAGGAGAAUGGCUUAAACUCGGGAGGCAAAGGUUGCAGUGAGAUGAGAUCUCGCCAUUAUACUCCAGCAAGCUGGACAACAAGAGCAAAAAAACUCCUCAAAAAAUAAAAAAUAAGCUGGGCGUGGUGACUCAAGUCUGUAAUCCCAGCUCUUUGGGAGGCCGAGGCGGGUGGAUCAUGAGGUCAAGAGAUCGAGACCAUGCUGGUCAACAUGGUGAAACCCCGUCUCUACUAAAAAUACAAAAAUUAGCUGGGCAUGGUGGCACGUGCCUGUAAUCCCAGCUACUCAGGAGGCUGAGGCAGGAAAAUUGCCUGAACCCAGGAGGCGGAGGUUGCGGUAAGCCGAGAUUGCACCAUUGCACUCCAACCUAGGUAACAAGAGCGAAACUCCAUC